GAGUGCCCAUGUCUCCCAGUGUCCCCAUGUCUCCCAGUGUCCCCAUGUCUCUCAGUGUCCCUGGGAGACAUGGGGACACUGGGAGACAUGGGGCACU
This 97-nucleotide microRNA precursor is filed under the name Pelobates cultripes (western spadefoot toad). Lineage: Eukaryota; Metazoa; Chordata; Amphibia; Anura; Pelobatidae. The record is from RNAcentral.